AGUUAAGUACAGAUGUAGAAACGGCCCGGGGACCUUUAACCGUACGGUAAUUGCUAUUUAGUAAACGUGGCGAGGCUAGAGUCUUGUAGAGGGGGGUAGGAAUUUCAGGUGUAGCGGUGAAAUGCGUAGAGAUCUGAAGGAAUACCAGUGGCGAAGGCGGCCCCCUGGACAAAGACUGACGCUCAGAUGCGAAAGCGUGGGGAGCAAACAGGAUUAGAUACCCUGGUAG
This 229-nucleotide ribosomal RNA is filed under the name uncultured bacterium. Its description in RNAcentral is "partial 16S ribosomal RNA". It matches the Rfam family "Bacterial small subunit ribosomal RNA", at positions 595 to 793 of the family's 1533-position model. The record is from RNAcentral.